Molecule: ribosomal RNA, 2739 nt
Filed under: Triticum aestivum (bread wheat)
Lineage: Eukaryota; Viridiplantae; Streptophyta; Magnoliopsida; Poales; Poaceae
Description: partial small subunit ribosomal RNA
Source: RNAcentral
GAAUCUGGAUCUUCUCUUAUGGCACGGUGGUACCUUCUCACCCCCUAAAUUGGGAUUUGGAGGGAGCUCUCAGGGGAGAAUCAAGAGCAUGCGUGCGGCUCACGAGAGCAGGUCUAGACGGGAUCGAAAGAACAACGGGCGACGGAGGGGCGAAGGCGGGGGCGGCACCAUGACCAUCUGCGGUACAGCGCGGGUGGGCGGCGGCGGGUUGGGUUGCGGUGGCAGCGGCGGGUUGGGUUGGUUGGCUACUUGCGACGCUGGGGGCGGGGGUCCGGGUUGGGGCGGGGCUAGCGCAAACGACCGGGGAAGGUCCGGGGGCCGCAAGGCGCCGGCCGCGGCAUGGGCCGCGGGAAGAUGGUCUGCGCCGCCGGCGACCAUAAAGGCGGGCAGAACGGUGGGCCGCGAAAGCCACCCGGAGCGCAUAUGGUCGGAGGCGGUGGUGGCGGCCCACCUAAGGCAGGCGUGGGUCCGUGGGGGGAAUUGGGCAAGCAUAACCGACACGGGACUACGUGACGGAAUGCUCUUUCCGCUCGGAACAAACAAAGUCUUCUAGAUUACUAGAAUGUGCUGGAAACCACACAAAACCAAACGAAGGUGCUGGAACUACACAAACCAGAAGGUCCGAAGGCAGGUUCGGUGUGUAUAGUAGGACAAUCACACAAUAGUGUAGUCGCCGGUCGCCAUUGACUACCUCGAAAACCAGGACCUCGGCACUGAUCUGGUGGAUAGUGUGGACAAGGAGGUCGAUUACAAAAACCAGAACCUCGGCACUGUUCUGGUGCUGGUAAAUACUGUGGUCAAGGAGGUCGAUUACAAAAACCAGGACCUCGGCACUGAUCUGGUGGAUAGCGUAAACAAGGAGGGCGAUUACAAAAACCAGGACCUCGGUACCGAUCUGGUGGAUAGCGUGAACAAGGGGGUCGAUUACAAAAACCAGGACCUCGGCACCGAUCUGGUGGGUAGCGCGGACAAGGAAGUCGAUUGCAAAAACCAGGACCUCGACACUGAUCUGGUGGAUAGUGCGGACAAGGAGGUCGAUUGCAAAAACCAGUACCUCGACACUGAUCUGGUGGAUAACGCGGACGAGGAGGUCGAUUGCAGAAACCAGUACCUCGGCACUGAUCUGGUGGAUACUGUGGACAAGGAGGUCGAUGACUAAAACCAGGACCUCGACACUGAUCUGGAGUAUAGCGUGGACAAGGUGGUCAAUUACUCGGUGUCAAAUUUCAUAUACAACCGUUCUAACGUAGUUGUCACCUGUUACUAAAACAAGAAAGAGAAGAAGUCCAGACACCUUAACAUUUUUCAACCUUAGGUCAGUAUUUAGGUUAACUACCUUGAGGAUGACCCAAACCGAAAACACUAAAACUUAGACGGCUUCCGUCAGAAGCACGUACCGCCGACGAGUUGUUUGAUUCUUAACUACCAGUUCUCGACAACCAAUUACAGUUACUUCGGUGCUCUGUCGUGGAAGUCUUUAUGACACUCUUAUGAUGUCUUCUCUUCCGGUUACUUUAACUAUACCGACGAUACGUUUGCUAUGUGUCAUACCAACUUCUCUCUUACUCCACAUUUAAAGACCCAAGUGGUUAAGUCAGACAAGUCCGUAGAUGUUCGUAGUCACUACUCUUUCCACUACCAGUAUGUUCCUCACCACGUGACCUCCUUUCCUGUUCGUUCUCUGUUGCACUUUUUCUCCUUGUAAAUCCCCUUUCAUUUCAACAAACAAACGUUCCAACCUUUCUAUUUCUUCACUAAAGUCGACCUUUCGGAAGAGACGUUUAACUACGCUAUAGUAGUUACAUACAAGGGUACCUCGGACUUAGAUGUUAACUUGUGCUCUCCUUUGCAGUCGCGUCCCUUUAUCUACCCAAAGUAUUCUCGUUACCACUUCCCGUAACAUAGAGAUGGUCACGAUCAGAGUCUAUUCGACUUGUCGUCACGGGGUCCUCUUUUCCACUCAAAACUUAACGUUCGAUGUAGGUUCAGUCCCUUGUUCCUUUGAAAACUACGCCUUGUCAACGAACGACGAUAGGGAUUCUGCUUCCUUCUUGAUAAACGAAUACUACAAUUAACCCGUUAAAUACUAUUCGUACCUAACGUACUCUCUUACUCCGUAACCCAAAGUCUCUUCAGCUAACUUCAAAAGCCGCUCCUUUAUCGUCUCAAACACCUUAUACAACAACGUAGUUGGUUUCUCGUACAUCUGCGUGGAUCUUACAACCUCCGGGAACAUAGAGAGUACCUACUAAGACGUCUUUUCAAAUAAGAGAGCAACACCUGCCUUGAAUAUAAACUUUAAUUCUUUCGACUUUGGCCUAAUCUUACUUCUGUCUUCCUUACAGUGAUACAGUCACGGAAGAACAACGAGUUCAAGCCGCCCAUUAGUGUUUCUUUAACCGAGUCAAGGAAGAGCAACGAGUUCCAGCCACUCAUUAUAGUUUUCGCUAACCGCCUGCUGUUGGGAAGGACCGAUGGAUACUCGACGUCAACAACUAUAGAACCCUACUUCGUCAGAAGACCCGUGACACAAGAGGACCGAGAGGACUUAGAAAGCGACUACUUACAUCUAUCUGAAACGUACAACCGUAAUUGUCGCACGACAACCGCUCUAGUCAAACACAACAUUCACCUCUUCUUCACUUUACCCUGAGAAAAGUCGCACAGGGGGUACGCCCUCAGAGAAGCAUCUAUAUAUCCUCAUAAUUUAACUAUUUCGUUUAAAUAAACCUGAACGAC